GUGAUCCGGUGGUUCUGCGUGGAAGGGCCAUCGCUCAACGGAUAAAAGCUACCCUGGGGAUAACAGGCUUAUCUCCCCCAAGAGUCCACAUCGACGGGGGGGUUUGGCACCUCGAUGUCGGCUCAUCACAUCCUGGGGCUGUAGUAGGUCCCAAGGGUUGGGCUGUUCGCCCAUUAAAGUGGUACGCGAGCUGGGUUCAGAACGUCGUGAGACAGUUCGGUCCCUAUCCGUCGCAGGCGUAGGAAAUUUGAGAAGACCUGUCCUUAGUACGAGAGGACCGGGAUGGACGUACCUCUGGUGUACCAGUUGUCCUGCCAAGGGCAUGGCUGGGUAGCUA
This 337-nucleotide ribosomal RNA is filed under the name Clostridioides difficile. RNAcentral describes it as "bacterial LSU rRNA". It matches the Rfam family "Bacterial large subunit ribosomal RNA", at positions 2415 to 2751 of the family's 2925-position model. The record is from RNAcentral. Lineage: Bacteria; Bacillati; Bacillota; Clostridia; Peptostreptococcales; Peptostreptococcaceae.